GAUGAACGCUGGCGGCGUGCCUAAUACAUGCAAGUCGAGCGAACAGACGAGGAGCUUGCUCCUCUGACGUUAGCGGCGGACGGGUGAGUAACACGUGGAUAACCUACCUAUAAGACUGGGAUAACUUCGGGAAACCGGAGCUAAUACCGGAUAAUAUAUUGAACCGCAUGGUUCAAUAGUGAAAGACGGUUUUGCUGUCACUUAUAGAUGGAUCCGCGCCGCAUUAGCUAGUUGGUAAGGUAACGGCUUACCAAGGCAACGAUGCGUAGCCGACCUGAGAGGGUGAUCGGCCACAACGGAACUGAGACACGGUCAAGACUCCUACGGGAGGCAGCAGUAGGGAAUCUUCCGCAAAGGGCGAAAGACUGACGGAGCAACGCCGAGUGAGUGAUGAAGGUAUUCGGAUCGUAAAACUCUGUUAUUAGGGAAGAACAAAUGUGUAAGUAACUAUGCACGUCUUGACGGUACCUAAUCAGAAAGCCACGGCUAACUACGUG
RNAcentral lists this ribosomal RNA (497 nucleotides) under uncultured bacterium. Its description in RNAcentral is "partial 16S ribosomal RNA". It matches the Rfam family "Bacterial small subunit ribosomal RNA", at positions 28 to 507 of the family's 1533-position model. The record is from RNAcentral.